RNAcentral lists this ribosomal RNA (402 nucleotides) under uncultured bacterium. Its description in RNAcentral is "bacterial SSU rRNA". It matches the Rfam family "Bacterial small subunit ribosomal RNA", at positions 355 to 774 of the family's 1533-position model. The record is from RNAcentral.
UGGGGAAUCUUGCACAAUGGGGGAAACCCUGAUGCAGCGACGCCGCGUGAACGAUGAAGCCCUUCGGGGUGUAAAGUUCUUUCGACAGGAACGAUAAUGACGGUACCUGAAGAAGAAGCUGCGGCUAACUACGUGCCAGCAGCCGCGGUAAUACGUAGGCAGCGAGCGUUGUUCGGAGUUACUGGGCGUAAAGAGUGCGUAGGCGGCGAGCCAAGUUUGGUGUGAAAUCUCCCGGCUUAACCGGGAGGGUGCGCCGAAAACUGGUUGGCUGGAGUAUGGGAGAGGAAAGCGGAAUUCCUGGUGUAGCGGUGAAAUGCGUAGAUAUCAGGAGGAACACCUGCGGUGUAGACAGCUUUCUGAACCAAAACUGACGCUGGGGCACGAAAGCGUGGGUAGCAAACA